AAUGAAAAGAAAUUGAAUGAGAAUUGUUUUUGUCAAUGAUACAUAGUAUGUUAAAAUUAUGUGACCCGGGCCAUUGGCAAUUAUUCCAAAUAUUAUAUCCGUAAUAGUUGACAGAAAGUAUGGUUGCACCAACUCAUUGAUAUAUUGUCAUAAUAUGUAUAGAGACCCUUUCCAGUGACAGGAGUAUGUCCAAGCGGCGGGCGUCCCUAUGACAACGUAAUAAUACAUAUUUCAAAAAAGAUAAGCACACUCUGUUUAGCACACAACACUCGCUACACAUAGUGUGUCAUUGGACAUUGGACUUAGUCAAGUUAAAGGAAAUACUUGAAAAUGUCUAUGUACAUACCGAUUUGCACGUAACAGUCCACGGUCACUCGCGCGCUAUUUCAUGUCGAAAAUGGGUAAAAUUACUAAUUGGACUAUUUCAGGUUGUCUUGUUGAGUGCCAGAUCAACAAUAAGAACUGUAAUGGAUACACUACUGACAUUUCUGCAUGUAAUUCAAACAAUGGUCUGACUGGAGAUUCAGUGUUGUCUUUUUAUGAAUUACCCACAUUAGGUUCGGGUGAUAUAACUGUUAUAUGUGGCGAAAAAAUGGAUGCCAUAUCCAAAGCAGUGAAAUGCAUAGCGGAUACACACAUAGCUUGUGGAACAACUGAAACCAAACAAUUGGUAGCCUCUUCAAAUCAAUAUACAGAAGUUCUAAAAACUAUGUGUUCUCGUAAGAGCGAGUAUGAUGGAACAUGUGUUAAUUAUACCGCCAUAGUUGGUUGUACAGGGGACAAACUGGAAGAAAAUAACAUAACAUUAAGCAGCGAUUCUACCUUCGCCGAGGAACGCAUCGCCUUUUGCAAAUACCACGAGUACCUUACGUCUUGUGCAAACACCAAUGCACAACUAGGAUCGUGCAGUAAAACCAAGACCAAAGAAAUAUACUUAUCACUUGUAGCUAAACUCAGACCUGGCAUAUGUGGAGCUUCAUCCAUAGUUUCUUCAGUUCUUGUACUGGUUGUUUCUCUUCUUGCCGCUUUCUUUAAUUAAAUCUGAUUAACUAGAGCUAUAGCGAUCUUAUCUGCUGGUUAUUUGCCGUCCUCUUACUUUCUCUGUUGAGAUUAAAGUGUAAAAAGACAAGCUCUCCUAUCUGUCUUCUGUAGUGUUUUUUUUUUACAAUAUCUUUAUGCACUUGACAAAUCCCUCACAAUGACUAUAAAUUAGGUCAAAACUGCAUUAUCGAUAAUUAAUUCGAUAUGAUGAUUGUUCAGAAUCCAUGAAGCUUUUAAAUUUGAUUUUAAGUUCUGAACUGAUGGCAGUUUAACGUAGUUUGUGUUAUGUUCCCAUGGGUUGAUAUGUGUUUUGUGUUUUUAAGCUUUUUUUUCAUCUGUAAAGGGGCAUAAAGCUAAACUUAAUUAUGAUGUUUUACUUUAUUAAAAUUGGUAUCGCUACAAAGGCACAAGCGACCCAAAUAAAGGAAAGGUUGUACAAAUAAAUAAAUAAUGAUCAUUUCUAAUGCUCUAUACUCACGAACUGAUUUAAUUUUUUAAAAAUUUGAAAAUUCUUACGAAGUUUAAUGUAAUAGACACAUUGACAGAAAUAUGCCCUUUUAUUCUUUGUAUUCUGAAACAGAGUGUGGAUAUUUCCGUUUUAUUAUCAUCAAACAAAAUGGUAUUCUGCGGGAAAAAAAACUCUACAAAAGAAUAAGAUAUGGAACAUAAAAAUUGUUCUUUAUUAUUGUUUGAAUGUCUAUAAUUAUAAAUAUAUGUGUUGUGACUAUAUAUAAGUAUAAUGUAAUCUAUUAACAGAUUAUAUAAUAACAUCUUGCCUAAAUUGGGUACGAAAUAUACUCGAUUCCUUUAUUCUCAGAAAAGUUUAAUAUAUAUUUU
Long non-coding RNA from Patella vulgata (common limpet), 1878 nucleotides. RefSeq lists it as uncharacterized. The record is from RefSeq and is a predicted model, not a curated record. The transcript is spliced from 4 exons. Lineage: Eukaryota; Metazoa; Mollusca; Gastropoda; Patellidae.